MicroRNA precursor from Chrysemys picta bellii (western painted turtle), 91 nucleotides. The record is from Ensembl. Lineage: Eukaryota; Metazoa; Chordata; Testudines; Emydidae.
UAUACUCGUUCCGCCCUAGCAGCACGUAAAUAUUGGUGUAGUAAAGUAAAUCUUAAACCCCAAUAUUAUUGUGCUGCUUAAGCGUGGCAGA